UUUUUACCCCAUUAUUCAUUCGUAUCAUUCCUCGCCCACUAUCUGGAUUCCUAAAAUGCGAUUUGGUUGCCUGCCGUCUGUUGAGAUUAUCUGGGGUUAUGAACCUCGAGAGUUCUGGAUUUUCAGCUCUAUUGUUGAAACAGUGUUUACGCUUUCCGAGUGAGGCAUGUGUUUGGUGCCUGCCGCUGUGCUGCGCGGCUGGUUGUGCUGAGUGUGGCUGAGGCCAGCUCCCAGCUUUAAUGUGUUGCUGUUCAGGCAGCCUACCUGCAGAAGGGAGGUGUGAACACAGUGGUUCUGGAGCGCCGGCACGUGAUCGGAGGAGCAGCAGUGACGGAGGAGCUCUUUCCAGGCUUCCGGUGCUCUGUGGCUUCUUACGUGCUCAGCUUGCUCAGGCCUCACAUCUACCGGGACCUGGAACUGAAGGUAAGGAGGCUUUGGAAAUUAUUUGAAAGCACAGAUACCUCAGAGUUGGCGGCAGGGUGGCCCAGUUGUUAGGAUUGCUGCCUCACAGCGCUGGGGCCCUGGGUUCAGUUCCGGGCCUGGGUUGCUAUCCGUGCGGAGUCUCCGUGAUUUCCCUGUGUUCGCUUGGGCUUCUUCCGGGUUCUCCAGUUUCCUCCCACAUCUAGAUACUGUGGAGAUAGUGGUAGGUCAAGUGGCUUCUGGGAAGAUUGGCCCCGACGUGAGUGUGUUCGUGUUUGUGUCUGUGUGUCUGCCUUGCGAUGAACUGGCGUGCUGAGCAGGGUGUCUCCUGCCUUGCGCCCUUGCCAGGGUAGGCCUGGCGUUAUUUUCUGAGAUAGGAAUCCGGUAUUGGAUGAAGCAGUUCGAAUGGAUGGUACCUUUGAUUUGGAAAUUCAGGUCCAUAAAAAAAGAGUUCCGUAGCUGAGAGU
RNAcentral lists this long non-coding RNA (887 nucleotides) under Lepisosteus oculatus (spotted gar). Its description in RNAcentral is "lncRNA (ENSLOCG00000022224.1)". Lineage: Eukaryota; Metazoa; Chordata; Actinopteri; Semionotiformes; Lepisosteidae. The record is from RNAcentral.